UCCCUUCUAGCUCAGUUGGUAAAGAAUCCGUCUGCAAUGCGGGAGACCUGGGUUCGAUCCCUGGGUUGGGAA
Molecule: transfer RNA, 72 nt
Filed under: Ovis aries (sheep)
Lineage: Eukaryota; Metazoa; Chordata; Mammalia; Artiodactyla; Bovidae
Rfam family: tRNA
About the family: Transfer RNA (tRNA) molecules are approximately 80 nucleotides in length. Their secondary structure includes four short double-helical elements and three loops (D, anti-codon, and T loops).
Source: Rfam by way of RNAcentral